This 338-nucleotide unclassified non-coding RNA is filed under the name soil metagenome. RNAcentral describes it as "partial contains 5.8S ribosomal RNA, internal transcribed spacer 2, and large subunit ribosomal RNA". The stretch from base 1 to 120 matches the Rfam family "5.8S ribosomal RNA", at positions 35 to 154 of the family's 154-position model. The record is from RNAcentral.
GAUGAAGAACGUAGCGAAAUGCGAUACGUAGUGUGAAUUGCAGAAUUCAGUGAAUCAUCGAAUCUUUGAACGCACAUUGCACCUCUCGGUAUUCCGGGAGGUAUGCCUGUUCGAGCGUCAUUUGUACCCUCAAGCUCUGCUUGGUGUUGGGUGUUUGUUCCGCCUCUGUGUGUGAACUCGCCUCAAAACAAUUGGCAGCCGGCGUACUUGUUUCGGAGCGCAGCACAUUUUGCGAUCCAGAUCAACGUACAGCGGCAUCCAAGAAGCCUUAUUUAACGCUCUUGACCUCGGAUCAGGUAGGGAUACCCGCUGAACUUAAGCAUAUCAAUAAGCGAGGA